GAAGGACAAGAGGAUACCUCUACUCCUGGUGAGAAAGCUGAUGGAGAAAGAGUCCAGGCUGGGCUAAGUCUCUGAUUAGGGCUCAGAAUUGGAAACAGGUGGGUUGCAUUGUAGGCACAGCUGUGUCUGCUCAGUUGUUGUCAAGUCUAAGUCAGUAGGAGGAGGAGAUGAGCGAGACGUGGAGAGGGAAGCCAAUGGUGGAGCUUAAAGAGUCUAGAAGGCGAUGUGGGCCAUCCGUUCUCUAAGAAAUUGGAGCCGAAGUCCUGCUGAUGAGGAAAACAACUGUGGACUUCUCAGUGCCUUUCCAGGCCCGGCUGGUAUGAAGACUGAGCCUAACACCUUUGCAAAGUGGCAUUUGAGUGAUUUAUAAUGAAGACAAACCUAAGGUAGGAGUUUUUUCCUUGUUUUCCUUACUCAGUUCUUCCUGUGUAAAAAAAAUAAAAUAAAAUAAAAUGGCGUGUUUCCUAAUGAUACUAACUUAAGAGGGAGUGAUUUCUAGCAUAUUGCACACAUGGGU
RNAcentral lists this long non-coding RNA (517 nucleotides) under Mustela putorius furo (domestic ferret). RNAcentral's name for it is "lncRNA (ENSMPUG00000031790.1)". Lineage: Eukaryota; Metazoa; Chordata; Mammalia; Carnivora; Mustelidae. The record is from RNAcentral.